CCCCCCGGUGAAAAAAAGAAAGAGUGGCGAACGGGUGAGUAACACGUGGGUAACCUGCCCAUCAGAAGGGGAUAACACUUGGAAACAGGUGCUAAUACCGUAUAACAAUCGAAACCGCAUGGUUUUGAUUUGAAAGGCGCUUUCGGGUGUCGCUGAUGGAUGGACCCGCGGUGCAUUAGCUAGUUGGUGAGGUAACGGCUCACCAAGGCCACGAUGCAUAGCCGACCUGAGAGGGUGAUCGGCCACAUUGGGACUGAGACACGGCCCAAACUCCUACGGGAGGCAGCAUUAUGGAAUCUUCGGCAAUGGACGAAA
Molecule: ribosomal RNA, 315 nt
Filed under: Enterococcus faecium
Lineage: Bacteria; Bacillati; Bacillota; Bacilli; Lactobacillales; Enterococcaceae
Description: bacterial SSU rRNA
Rfam family: Bacterial small subunit ribosomal RNA
Source: RNAcentral